AUUGAACGCUGGCGGAAUGCUUUACACAUGCAAGUCGAACGGUAGAGGGGGCAACCCCUCGAGAGUGGCGAACGGGUGAGUAAUAUAUCGGAACGUGCCCAGUCGUGGGGGAUAACGUAGCGAAAGUUACGCUAAUACCGCAUACGAUCUAAGGAUGAAAGCGGGGGAUCGCAAGACCUCGCGCGAUAGGAGCGGCCGAUAUCAGAUUAGGUAGUUGGUGGGGUAAAGGCUCACCAAGCCGACGAUCUGUAGCUGGUGUGAGAGGACGACCAGCCACACUGGGACUGAGACACGGCCCAGACUCCUAAGGGAGGCAGCAGUGGGGAAUUUUGGACAAUGGGCGAAAGCCUGAUCCAGCCAUGCCGCGUGCAGGAUGAAGGCCUUCGGGUUGUAAACUGCUUUUGUACGGAACGAAAAGGUUUGGCCUAAUAAGCUGAGCUCAUGACGGUACCGUAAGAAUAAGCACCGGCUAACUACGUGCCAGCCGCCGCGGUAA
This 496-nucleotide ribosomal RNA is filed under the name uncultured bacterium. Its description in RNAcentral is "partial 16S ribosomal RNA". It matches the Rfam family "Bacterial small subunit ribosomal RNA", at positions 30 to 523 of the family's 1533-position model. The record is from RNAcentral.